UGCCUAAUACAUGCAAGUCGAGCGAACGGACGAGAAGCUUGCUUCUCUGAUGUUAGCGGCGGACGGGUGAGUAACACGUGGAUAACCUACCUAUAAGACUGGGAUAACUUCGGGAAACCGGAGCUAAUACCGGAUAAUAUUUUGAACCGCAUGGUUCAAAAGUGAAAGACGGUCUUGCUGUCACUUAUAGAUGGAUCCGCGCUGCAUUAGCUAGUUGGUAAGGUAACGGCUUACCAAGGCAACGAUGCAUAGCCGACCUGAGAGGGUGAUCGGCCACACUGGAACUGAGACACGGUCCAGACUCCUACGGGAGGCAGCAGUAGGGAAUCUUCCGCAAUGGGCGAAAGCCUGACGGAGCAACGCCGCGUGAGUGAUGAAGGUCUUCGGAUCGUAAAACUCUGUUAUUAGGGAAGAACAUAUGUGUAAGUAACUGUGCACAUCUUGACGGUACCUAAUCAGAAAGCCACGGCUAACUACGUGCCAGCAGCCGCGGUAAUACGUAGGUGGCAAGCGUUAUCCGGAAUUAUUGGGCGUAAAGCGCGCGUAGGCGGUUUUUUAAGUCUGAUGUGAAAGCCCACGGCUCAACCGUGGAGGGUCAUUGGAAACUGGAAAACUUGAGUGCAGAAGAGGAAAGUGGAAUUCCAUGUGUAGCGGUGAAAUGCGCAGAGAUAUGGAGGAACACCAGUGGCGAAGGCGACUUUCUGGUCUGUAACUGACGCUGAUGUGCGAAAGCGUGGGGAUCAAACAGGAUUAGAUACCCUGGUAGUCCACGCCGUAAACGAUGAGUGCUAAGUGUUAGGGGGUUUCCGCCCCUUAGUGCUGCAGCUAACGCAUUAAGCACUCCGCCUGGGGAGUACGACCGCAAGGUUGAAACUCAAAGGAAUUGACGGGGACCCGCACAAGCGGUGGAGCAUGUGGUUUAAUUCGAAGCAACGCGAAGAACCUUACCAAAUCUUGACAUCCUUUGACAACUCUAGAGAUAGAGCCUUCCCCUUCGGGGGACAAAGUGACAGGUGGUGCAUGGUUGUCGUCAGCUCGUGUCGUGAGAUGUUGGGUUAAGUCCCGCAACGAGCGCAACCCUUAAGCUUAGUUGCCAUCAUUAAGUUGGGCACUCUAAGUUGACUGCCGGUGACAAACCGGAGGAAGGUGGGGAUGACGUCAAAUCAUCAUGCCCCUUAUGAUUUGGGCUACACACGUGCUACAAUGGACAAUACAAAGGGCAGCGAAACCGCGAGGUCAAGCAAAUCCCAUAAAGUUGUUCUCAGUUCGGAUUGUAGUCUGCAACUCGACUACAUGAAGCUGGAAUCGCUAGUAAUCGUAGAUCAGCAUGCUACGGUGAAUACGUUCCCGGGUCUUGUACACACCGCCCGUCACACCACGAGAGUUUGUAACACCCGAAGCCGGUGGAGUAACCUUUUAGGAGCUAGCCGUCGAAGGUGGGA
RNAcentral lists this ribosomal RNA (1442 nucleotides) under Staphylococcus aureus. Its description in RNAcentral is "partial 16S ribosomal RNA". It matches the Rfam family "Bacterial small subunit ribosomal RNA". Lineage: Bacteria; Bacillati; Bacillota; Bacilli; Caryophanales; Staphylococcaceae. The record is from RNAcentral.